Mesocricetus auratus (golden hamster) is the source of this 2005-nucleotide long non-coding RNA. RefSeq lists it as uncharacterized. NCBI's taxonomy places the organism in Eukaryota, Metazoa, Chordata, Mammalia, Rodentia, Cricetidae. The transcript has 4 exons. The record is from RefSeq and is a predicted model, not a curated record.
CAUGUAGGCGUACCAGUUUCAGGAGAACCAAUGAUUUUCCUGAAGGAGGCUGUGGUCCUGUGGUUGUAAGAACAAAGAAUCCCCUGGACAGAGGAAAAAGGUCUGGAAUAGACUGCUGAAGUUAAGGGGUAGGAAGAAAUUGGCCCCGUUGAGACAAAUUCCACAUUGGAAACAACAGGAAACCAUUGUGGAAAGUACAUUGGACUUACAUGAAUACAGUUUGGAUUAAACUACAUUUUCAACUCUGAGGAGUAUGGGUAGGAGAUGAAGGUGGGCAGUGGAGGUGUUUAGUCUAACGAGGACACAGUUGCAAUGGUGAGGGACGAAGGAUCGUGUCCGGAAGUGAGAAGCCAUCACUGUGGGAUGGAAGAGGUCAAUCUGAGAUGGGCAUAGUACCAUCUCUUUGUUUGGAUAGCAUUCUGAGGAAGGCAAGGGAGUCUUGGAGAAGGUUCGAGCUUUUUUAAACAUUACAUAUGAGCUGUGUCAGCAGCUGGAUCCAGCCUUUGUGUGACUUCAUGCACCUUGGUUGUUUUUUUUUGUUUGUUUGUUUGUUUUUUUGUUUUGUUUUGUUCCACACCCCAUCUUCCUACCAUAUAUCAUUUUGUUAGUUUCGGUCUCAGGAAGGGUUGCUGAACAAGCCGGAAGAAUAGCCUGGCAUUUUCAAGUCCUAAAAGGUAAAACUUUAGCAACGGUAAACGCUGGCCAGGUCUUAGGGGGGCUACACCUACGAGGCUAGGAACACAGUGUGGGUGUGGACACAUUCUCACAAGAAAGAGAGGCAGUGAGCUGCGAAGAUGGCCCAGUUGGUCAGGUGUUUGCCGUGCAACCCCGAGUGCCUGCGCUUAGUCUGCACGUCCCGAGGAAGAGCUGGGUGCCGCAUUGCUUAACUGUAGCCCCAGUGCUGGGACAGUGUAGGGACAGGAAGAUCCCGGGAGCUUGGUGGUCUCUUGCCUAGCCUAAUCAAGAAGCUCCAGGUCCAGCGAGGGGCCCUGCCUCGAAAGACAAAGUGGACUGUGACUGAGGAAGACAUCUGCUGACCUCUGUCCUCUGUUUGCACGGACACAUACAUGAGCAUCCCCCCCCCCACACACACAAAGGUGAAGAAGAGAGGCAUUGCCCAAGGGAGGAAAGUAUUUAGUCAUGAGAAAAUUAUACAAAGGCAUUCAUUAUGUUCGAACUUUCUAGAAAAGGUGGGGUUUUGGAUCAGCAUAAAAUGAUACAAUGAGGUCAAGUUACAGCAAAGUGAAGAACAGUUUUAGAAUCCCCCAAGUACUCUUGUAUUUGGUGCCACCUGCUGGCCGGUGUCUGCUCCGUCUUCCUUGGAAUUGGCACCUUUUCUUUUCCCUCCAAGCCGAUGCCAGACUAGAACUACCCUGUGAAGGGUGAAAAAUGGUAGAGUCCCAAGACACCGGGAACAUACGGCUGUCCUCAUCCUGAGUCUUCUGUCCGCUGGGGCUUGCGGCCAUCUCCUGGUUAAUUAGAGCUCACCCUUCCUUGGUUGUUAUCGGAACGAGGAACCAAGGACAUGAAGAUCCAUCUGCUGCCUCUUCGCUGUUUGAGAUAGGAAAAAGGAUCUGCUUCUUACACUUUAGCUGACCCUUCCCACCUCAUCAUCACCCGGAGGUAGUUUCACACUGAAGAAGGCGGUGAGGCUGUGGAGAAAGGCUUUUUGGGAAUCCGUAGAAGCUAUCUGAACUCCAGAGAGGCGGAGCUGCUCUGUGGGCAGAAGUCUAAGUAAACGCUGGCCCGUAAAUAAGAAUCUUCAGUUAUUCACCAGUGCUCUCCGGGGCUGACCUAGCCCUCUUAGUGGCGGGCUGAGUAGGAGGGGCCUCUACUCCCAUCUACGGUCAAACUUUGCUUGGCCAACAAGGUAUCCAUAAUAACGACCCUGACGGGCUGGAGAGAUGGCUCAGAGGUUAAGAGCACUGACUGCUCUUCCAGAGGUCUUGAGUUCAAUUCCCAGCAACCACAUGGUGGCUCACAACCAUCUGUAAUGAGAUCUGGC